UCUCCCCGAUGGACAGGGCUGCGUCCGGAGCUCAGGGACAAAGCCCUCUUGGCAGGGGCUGCAGCUGGGCCCGUGAAACAGCCCUUUCAGCUCCGGCUCUGAAUGGCGGUUCUGUGGCCUCGUUGGAGGAACACAGGCGCCUUUUCUGUGUCACUUCCCCCUCACCAGCGGAGCUCCAGAAAUAUGCCACAGCUCGCAUUCCACCAGGGGCUUGCAUGCAGACAGGGAGGAAACUCGUGAAAUGAAAAACCCCCGGAACCAGACAGAGCGGAGUUUGAGUCCCUCUUCUGUCACCUGCCAGCUGACUUCAGGUGAAUCCUUCACUUGGCUGCUGUCCUGUCCCGUGUCUGUAAAGUCGGGAUCUCAACGCCAAUAUCACAGGAUGGAGGAGGAUGAGGUGUAUUGAAUGCUGCAUCCGUGUUUAUUGUUUCUCCAGCACCUUCUUGUAUCGGUCAGGACAGGAUAGGUGAGUUGCAGUAACAAACAAGCCCUCAGAUCACAAUGGCUUAACACGGGGAUUGUUUCUCUCUGGUGAUGCAGACCCGGGCUAGACAGGUGCCUCCCUGCACAGGCCCUCCCCAAGGCUGCCUGCACGCUGCUGUCCUGCCAUUUCCAAGUCCUGGGUCAGCCACACAGUCAAGAGAGAGACAGCAUGUGUCUCUCCGAACAGCCUCAGACGAGGAGCACACGGCCGACUCUGCCUAGCAGCCCAGGGGGAGGAGCUGCACACUGACAGUGAGGAGGGCAGCAGGGGAUCAAGCAGCAGUGAGCCCCACAGAGCCAGCCUCCGAACUGAGCCUCUGGAGAGCUGAGAAGAGCAGAUGAAGAUGUGUCAACAGUGGUCAGCUCACCCGUUUCAUCCUUCAGCUUCAAAACUCUGGAGCCACACAGACCAGGUCUGCAGAUUUUCAGGAUUCUUGCUGCUGCUGCCGCUUAAAAGCUUAGGAGAGAAAAAUAAAAUUCCGCCAAAUUGGGAAGGAGUGGUGUAUUUGUUUCUGAUUGCUGUGUAACAAAUGACCACAAAUUUAGUGACCUAAAACAGCAUAGACGUCUGACCUCAGUUUCUGUCGAUCAGAAGUCUGAGCACAACUAAGCUGGGCUCUCUGCUCAGGGCCUCACAAGGCUGCAACCACCACGUCAGCCGGGCUGCAUCCCUUUCUGGAGCCUGGAUCCUCUUUCAGGCUCACGUGAUGGUUGGCAGAAUUCAGUGCCCAGAGGUUGUCACACUGAGGCUCCCCCUUGCCCCAGUCCUUUUGAUUGACCAGGGGCCACCCUCAGCUCCUAGACGCCACCACAGUUCCUUGUCAUCUGGCCCCCUCCAAGGCCCUCUCAGGCUUCAAAUCGCUGCCAUACUGAGUCCCUCUCUUCAGGAAGAGCCCAGCCCCUGUAAGGGGUCACCUGAUCAGGUCAGGCUCACCCAUGAUGAUUUCCCUUGCUUAAAGCCAACGGUACCCUGUGACAUAACCUAAUCACAGGAAGGACUGUCCCAUCAGAUUCACAGGCUCUGCCCAUAUUCAAGGGGAGAGACUGAUCAGGGUCACGGGUCA
Equus caballus (horse) is the source of this 1547-nucleotide non-coding RNA. NCBI's taxonomy places the organism in Eukaryota, Metazoa, Chordata, Mammalia, Perissodactyla, Equidae. The record is from RefSeq and is a predicted model, not a curated record.